GAGGUGUUAGUAAAACAGAUUACCUAGUCUUGUCAAGACUAAAUUACAGGUGAAACCCCAGUACACCUCU
RNAcentral lists this transfer RNA (70 nucleotides) under Geokichla sibirica sibirica. RNAcentral describes it as "tRNA-Asp". The record is from RNAcentral. Lineage: Eukaryota; Metazoa; Chordata; Aves; Passeriformes; Turdidae.